This 1092-nucleotide long non-coding RNA is filed under the name Coffea arabica (coffee). RNAcentral describes it as "long non-coding RNA (CARA_LNC003658)". Lineage: Eukaryota; Viridiplantae; Streptophyta; Magnoliopsida; Gentianales; Rubiaceae. The record is from RNAcentral.
AUAUGAAAAUCUACACCAUCUAAAACGGCAUUGCCUAAUGGACGAGAGUCUGAUUCAUUACCACCUAAGAAUUCGUUCCAGAUAUAGGAGGCGACUUGCUGAGCAUCAUCGGAAGAAGAAAGGUUAGCGGCUCCACCGAGAGAAAGAAACACUUUGAUGCCUAGGCCUUGGCAAGUUUCUAUUUCGGAACUGUUUAAGGAAUGCCCAGCUAUGUUCAAUUGCGGUGUUUGGCCACCGCCAUAAUUUAUCAGAAAGGCAAUAUUCACGUAGUCGUAGGUACCUUUACGACAUGUGUCUACCAGGCUUCCUUCUGUAGUGUUUUGGCCCCAGUAGGUGGCAAUGCCAGCAUUUACGGGCUGUAUCUGGGACUUGUUAACAUAAGGCCUGAUUGUCUCACUGUAAUUUAAGUCAUGGGCAUGGUCCCAAACCAUGACCCCUCCAUAAUUGGAGUAGUUCUGCACAAAGGGAAGAACCUCAUCAAUUAGCACUUGCGGUGGGAUGUAACCACCACUAGGUGAGACUGCAGGGUCUGCAGGUACUCCCAGGAAUAAUGUAUUAAUGCCUGGAUAGGAAGCCCAGCGGUCCCAACUGUCGAAGAGGGGACUGGUAUUGCCUGGUGUAUACUCACAAGGAGGAUUGUUAAAAAAUUCCACCCACACGUAAUCAAAAUGGCCAGUUUUGAUAGCAGCGUCCAGAAAAUAGUCAGGAAUGAAACAUUCUGGUGCUGCUGAUAAAUACACCAGCUUCCUCUCUGGUGUGUUAUAUUUUGAUAGCGCCUGAACAAGGUCAGCCAAGUAAUCCGCCUUUCCAGCUUGGAUAUGAAAAUCUACACCAUCUAAAACGGCAUUGCCUAAUGGACGAGAGUCUGAUUCAUUACCACCUAAGAAUUCGUUCCAGAUAUAGGAGGCGACUUGCUGAGCAUCAUCGGAAGAAGAAAGGUUAGCGGCUCCACCGAGAGAAAGAAACACUUUGAUGCCUAGGCCUUGGCAAGUUUCUAUUUCGGAACUGUUUAAGGAAUGCCCAGCUAUGUUCAAUUGCGGUGUUUGGCCACCGCCAUAAUUUAUCAGAAAGGCAAUAUUCACGUAGUCGUAG